AAGUCGAACGAUGACGGNGGUGCUUGCACCGCCUGAUUAGUGGCGANNGGGUGAGUAACACGUGAGUAACCUGCCCCCCACUUCGGGAUAACCUCGGGAAAUCGUGGCUAAUACCGGAUAUGAGUACUCAUCGCAUGGGGGGAGUAGGAAAGAUUUAUCGGNGGGGGAUGGAUUCGCGGACUAUCAGCUUGUUGGUGAGGUGAUGGCUCACCAAGACGAUGACGGGUAGCCGGCCUGAGAGGGCGACCGGCCACACUGGGACUGAGACACGGACCAGACUCCUACGGGAGGCAGCAGUGGGGAAUAUUGCACAAUGGGCGAAAGCCUGAUGCAGCGACGCCGCGUGGGGGAUGACGGGCUUCGGGUUGUAAACCCCUUUCAGUAUGGAAGAAGCGAAAGUGACGGUACCUGCAGAAGAAGCGCCGGCUAACUACGUGCCAUCAGCCGCGGUAAUACGUAGGGCGCAAGCGUUGUCCGGAAUUAUUGGGCGUAAAGAGCUUGUAGGUGGCUUGUCGCGUCUGCCGUGAAAACCCGAGGCUCAACCUCGGGCGUGCGGUGGGUACGGUCAGGCUAGAGUGUGGNAGGGGAGACUGGAACUCCUGGUGUAGAGGAGAAAUGCGCAGAUAUCAGGAAGAACACCGAUGGCGAAGGNAGGUCUCUGGGCCAUUACUGACACUGAGAAGCGAAAGCAUGGNUAGCGAACAGGAUUAGAUACCCUGGUAGAUCCAUGNCGUAAACGUUGGGCACUAGGUGUGGGGGACAUUCCACGUUUUCCGCGCCGUA
This 783-nucleotide ribosomal RNA is filed under the name Brachybacterium sp. LKS-186. RNAcentral's name for it is "bacterial SSU rRNA". It matches the Rfam family "Bacterial small subunit ribosomal RNA", at positions 59 to 850 of the family's 1533-position model. The record is from RNAcentral. Lineage: Bacteria; Bacillati; Actinomycetota; Actinomycetes; Micrococcales; Dermabacteraceae.